CCGCGUGGAGGUAGAAGGCUUACGGGUCGUGAACUUCUUUUCCACUAUGGGAGCUGGCCAUGCCCGAAGUCGUUACC
This 77-nucleotide transfer RNA is filed under the name Monimopetalum chinense. RNAcentral's name for it is "tRNA-Ile". Lineage: Eukaryota; Viridiplantae; Streptophyta; Magnoliopsida; Celastrales; Celastraceae. The record is from RNAcentral.